ACGGGUGAGUAAUGCCUAGGAAUCUGCCUGGUAGUGGGGGACAACGUUUCGAAAGGAACGCUAAUACCGCAUACGUCCUACGGGAGAAAGCAGGGGACCUUCGGGCCUUGCGCUAUCAGAUGAGCCUAGGUCGGAUUAGCUAGUUGGUGGGGUAAUGGCUCACCAAGGCGACGAUCCGUAACUGGUCUGAGAGGAUGAUCAGUCACACUGGAACUGAGACACGGUCCAGACUCCUACGGGAGGCAGCAGUGGGGAAUAUUGGACAAUGGGCGAAAGCCUGAUCCAGCCAUGCCGCGUGUGUGAAGAAGGUCUUCGGAUUGUAAAGCACUUUAAGUUGGGAGGAAGGGCAGUAAGCGAAUACCUUGCUGUUUUGACGUUACCGACAGAAUAAGCACCGGCUAACUCUGUGCCAGCAGCCGCGGUAAUACAGAGGGUGCAAGCGUUAAUCGGAAUUACUGGGCGUAAAGCGCGCGUAGGUGGUUUGUUAAGUUGAAUGUGAAAGCCCCGGGCUCAACCUGGGAACUGCAUCCAAAACUGGCAAGCUAGAGUACGGUAGAGGGUGGUGGAAUUUCCUGUGUAGCGGUG
Molecule: ribosomal RNA, 585 nt
Filed under: Pseudomonas sp. StFRB286
Lineage: Bacteria; Pseudomonadati; Pseudomonadota; Gammaproteobacteria; Pseudomonadales; Pseudomonadaceae
Description: bacterial SSU rRNA
Rfam family: Bacterial small subunit ribosomal RNA
Source: RNAcentral